AGCCCGUGUUGUAAUUAAGAAUCUAGAAGGCCUAUUGAAAUGAAAGCACAAUGGGCAGAUUUGGAUUCUGCUGCAUGGAACCAGCAUACUUAACACAGAUAGUCCUCUAUUACAAGUAUUUGUAACAUGAAAACAAAACAUCACACUCUAGAGGAAUAAUGGAGACACGUUAGCCUCUGCAAGAACUCCACACCACAAAUUUUUGGCUCUUGGCACUUCUGAAAUACUCAUUUUGGGAAUAUUGUUUAAGGCAAGACCCUGCAUUUUAUGCAAUGUCUUUGUAAAAACCAAGGGCAAGAACAACCUGGAGAGAAAUUUUCAAAUUUUGGACCAGAGCCACCAAAUCAAUAAUGGCAGAACAAAAUGAAUUAUCAACCUCCACUGCUUCAAUCACAGGGAAAGGCAAGGAGUUAGCCAAAAGAGAAACUGCAGUCAAUGUUAAGAAACAGAAUGAAUUGACUUUGAGUUUCCACAAGGGUAGGGAUGGCAUCCUUGCUCCAUUGUAUCCCUAGCCCCCAGCAAAGUACCUGGUUCACCAGAACUGCUCAUGAAGGAGUAAAUGAAUAAUUUACAUCCAUUCAACAUAUCAUCAUGACCAUAAUUCACUCCUUGAGUGCAGAAGCUAUAUUUUAUUAUUGUUAUUAAUAUUUGGAACCCAGCACAAAGUGGAUCCUCAUCAUGCACUUAUUGGAAGAAUAUUAGGUGCAGAUAUUAGAGACUGUGGGUCAGAAGCAGAGCAUCCCACCUCACAUAACAGUGAACUCCCCAUCUCUGAAAUCAUCUAAGGAGAAGACAUAUGGAAUGCAUCAGGAAUGGUCCAGAAGUAAUUCAGUCAAUGAACUUGAUGAUCAUUCAUUUCCUUUCCUACCCUCACGUGCUAUGGUGCAACUAGAAAAGACUAGAAAGAGGAUGGAUGUAAGGAAAAGAGAGCUGCAGAAAUGAAUGAAAUUGCAACACCCUCAGAAAGGAGAGUGUCAUGGCAAAUAGAAAGAGUAGGGUUUUUGCCAAGGUUUUCUUAAUUGCUGGCAGGUAGCAGACUUGAGAGGCUCUGUACAAUAUAGGUGUGAAGGCUGAAAGACAGAUGUCAAAGAUAAUAGCUUUAACCAGCUGUCUGAUGGCUACUCCUUCCUCCUUAGCCUGGCCCUUAUUUCUAGAUUUAGAUACAGCUCAAAAGAGAUUCAGACUUUGACGAGCCAGGCAGAAAAUUGUGCUAGUCACAUGGAAUCAUUUUGACUGUUUUCUCAGCUGUUUCCUAAGAAAACAGACUUAACAUUUGUCACCCUCAUUCCUGAAUAAGGAAAGUGAUUCCACUUUCUCCUAAAGCAAAAGACACAGGAUAGAGUUGGCAUUUGUUGAGUGAAGAGUAGGGUUCAGAUUAAUGGCGUGUUGAGGGUUUGUUUUUACAAUCUUUCUAUAUUUUCACAUUCAAUAAACUAAAUGAAUUGUCCACACCUCCCUUGGGGCUUCCUAAUAGAAUAAUCCCACCAGGAAACUUUUCUCUUCCAGGCCCCUCACCAUUUCUCUUUCCAAUCUCCCAGUCUCAUGUCCUUGGCCAUAAUUAAUCUAUUCCUCAAAUAUAAGAAUGACCAGGGGUAGAAGUACAGGGAAAGAAAAGAAGGACAAAAGCAGAAUUGAGCAACACAUGAUUACAGGGGUGCACAGAACUGCCUUUUAUUUCUCUACAUGUUUAAGUUGACAAUUAUAAUAUUUCAUAUAUUAGAUCUUAUGGUCGGAUUGUCAAUUUUUGAGCAUGUAUCAUGUGACAUAUCCUUUGGACAUAUUAGUUCACUGGUGUUCAGUUACCUUUUAAGUUAUGUAUUAGCCUUCUUAAUAGGUGAAGAGGUUAAGGCUUAGAAAGGCUAACUACCUUGCCCAAAGUCACACAGACAAUAAGUGUUGGAGCCAGGAUUCAAACCCAUGUUCUCUGCCUCCCAAUCCAUAUCUAAUAACCACAUGUGUACAGUCUCAAGGAGAGUCACAGAGAUUUUUCAUUAACAAAGACCCAGCAAGCUGUCACACUAAAUCAAGCAGGGACAACAUGGCUUCCCAGAGCACAUUUGAGAACGUCUACAGGCAUCUUUGGUUAUCAUAAAUGGAUAGGUGCUACCAGCAUCUAGUGAAUAGAGGAUGCCCCAAACAUCCUACAAUUCACAGACAGCCCCCACAACAAAGAACUAUCAGGUCCAAAACAUUAAUAGAACCGUAGUCAAGAAACACUGCACUAAAUUAUCUCAGCAUUAUGUAAAACGGGUUCUCUGCUGCCAACUUGUGACCUUCUAUAUUGAAAAGGGGAACAGCUCAUAACUCCUUGAUAUACAGUUUCAUGCUAACAGUGUAUAGAAUUGGCCGAUGUUCUUUUUAAGAAUGGAGAAAAAAAGAAGGAUGGAGAAAGAACAGGCGAGGAAGAAGAAAAAGAAAAAAAAGAGAAAGAGAGAAGGAGAAAACUAACAUUAGAAACUGACAAUCUGCAGUGUUCAACAGCUGGAUCGCAUUACAUGGAAAUCAGUCCCAGUGACAGCACAACAGGCUGCUUUUGUGUCUUCAUGAAUAACGCAAUGUGCUGGGUAAAUGCUUUUCCCCAUUUAGAAACAGGUAGUUAAUGGGAAUUGAAGUGAUCAAAUACUGUGUACCCCAAGGUUACUUACAUCAUGGGCCUGGGUGGCCCCAAGCUCAUAAAUAAAGCAUUGGAGCAUCUUAUUUUAGGCCUGGUCAGAUAAGCAAGUGCUUGCAUCAUGUGAACAGAGCCCACAGCGCAAUAUGACACUGAGCCUGGCAAUUCCAGGACCUCUCAGAAUGUGACAUUUCAAGCACAGUACACUGAGUUCACACCCUGUGGAAGCUUCAAGGCCCACCAUGCCUCAAUUUUCCAUCAUCUUUUUGAUUAAGCUGCUGUGAGAGAAGGCUGUCACUGAGCCGGACUUUAAAUGAUGCCAAGUUCAUUCCCUACUAUGCAGAAGUUAAUUUGAGGCACAUUUGCAACUUAUAACUCUGAUUUACUCAUUUGCUGGUACGAGGGCCACACACAGCUUGACAACCUGCCAGCUUGCAUAGACUAUUCUCUCAGAAAAGGUUUGGACCAAGUCAAGACCCAGCUUGGCAGCUCAAAAUACAGCUGCUAGACAAUGGCAGAAUGUGGAGUUGAAUAUAAGAAAAGAAAAAUAUCUCCUCUUUGCCUCAAAUUUUUACAUAUAAUUUUGUAAUCAUAUCCCUAUUCAGAUACUUUGACAUAAAUAGUGCUUAAUUA
Molecule: long non-coding RNA, 3244 nt
Organism: Pan troglodytes (chimpanzee)
Lineage: Eukaryota; Metazoa; Chordata; Mammalia; Primates; Hominidae
Exons: 4
Source: RefSeq, a predicted model, not a curated record